Molecule: ribosomal RNA, 482 nt
Filed under: uncultured bacterium
Lineage: Bacteria
Description: partial 16S ribosomal RNA
Rfam family: Bacterial small subunit ribosomal RNA
Source: RNAcentral
AUUGAACGCUGGCGGCAUGCUUUACACAUGCAAGUCGAACGGUAACAGGCCGCAAGGUGCUGACGAGUGGCGAACGGGUGAGUAAUGCAUCGGAACGUGCCCAGUCGUGGGGGAUAACUACUCGAAAGAGUAGCUAAUACCGCAUACGAUCUAUGGAUGAAAGCGGGGGACCGUAAGGCCUCGCGCGAUUGGAGCGGCCGAUGUCAGAUUAGGUAGUUGGUGGGGUAAAGGCUCACCAAGCCAACGAUCUGUAGCUGGUCUGAGAGGACGACCAGCCACACUGGGACUGAGACACGGCCCAGACUCCUACGGGAGGCAGCAGUGGGGAAUUUUGGACAAUGGGCGCAAGCCUGAUCCGGCAAUGCCGCGUGCAGGAAGAAGGCCUUCGGGUUGUAAACUGCCUUUGUACGGAACGAAACGGCUCUGGUUAAUACCCGGGGCUAAUGACGGUACCGUAAGAAUAAGCACCGGCUAACUACGUG